GCAUCUGAACCGUGCACGAGGAAUUUACCUCCUGGUAGUUCCUCGUUGGGAACGAGCGUUUUGGAGACCAGACCUGAAGGCGCGAGCAGUAGCACCGCCCUUCACCAUAAAUAAUCUUCCACAAGUUCUAAUAGACACAGCAACAGGCCUACCACCUUCCAAAGUGCAAGAGAUGGUAAUAGAAGUGUGGAAAUGUGGGGGUGGGCUCAGAGCCUAAGAGACUGGAAUGAGGACCAAAUUCAACUGCUCCAAGCCUCCUGGCGCCCAUCGACAAGGAAAACGUAUACAGUGGCUUGGAAGAGAUGGCUAAAAUGGUCAGAACAGCAGGGGUAUAAAUCCGUUAGCACCAUCAGGACAAAUUCUUGCUCGUUACUUGGCAGAUUUACAUAUUGUUGAUGGGCUUGCUUAUAACACAAUUAAUGUUCAUAAAUCCGUGGUAGCCACUUUAACCAACCCUUACAAUGUAAGCAGUUUGAGCUCGCAUUCACUAGUAUGUCAUGUGUUAAAAGCUAUAGCUUUACAAAAACCAAUAACUCAAAGGAAAGUUAUUUGGGAUAUUGACAUUUUAACUACAUACUUACGCAAUUGUACUGUAGACGAGACUAGUAUAUUUGCUGUUUCUCGACAAACUGCAAUAUUAUUACUCCUCUGCUCGGGUCGCAGGGUCCAUGAUUUAACUUUAUUAGCCACCGAUUCAAAGCAUUACUCAGAGGAAAAUGAUUCCUUAAUUUUAUGGCCGAUUUUUGGGUCUAAAACAGAUACUGCUACAUAUAGACAGUCUGGAUGGAGACUUCACUCCAAUAUUGAGAGUAAAAAUCUUGAUCCGGUUUAUUGGGUAAAGCUAUGUAAAACUCUGAUGCAGGAGAGACGACAGCAAACAGGAAUAACAAAUCUAUUUUUAAAUAUCAGAGGCCCACCAAAAGCAGCCUCUCGCACACUCAUAGCAGGUUGGGUAAAAUCACUAUUAAUAGAAGCAGGUGUGAUAGCAACCCCAGGAAGACUGAGAUCCGCUGUUGCCUCAAAAAGGUGGGAAAAUAACUGCCCACUAGAUGACAUUCUUUCUGGAGGAAA
Aricia agestis (brown argus) is the source of this 1071-nucleotide long non-coding RNA. RefSeq lists it as uncharacterized. The record is from RefSeq and is a predicted model, not a curated record. NCBI's taxonomy places the organism in Eukaryota, Metazoa, Arthropoda, Insecta, Lepidoptera, Lycaenidae. The transcript has 2 exons.